RNAcentral lists this unclassified non-coding RNA (1164 nucleotides) under Hevea brasiliensis (rubber tree). The record is from RNAcentral. Lineage: Eukaryota; Viridiplantae; Streptophyta; Magnoliopsida; Malpighiales; Euphorbiaceae.
AUUUGAUCAAUGCAUAAUAAGCGAGUGGUUGUAAUACUUUCGACAUGAAAUACCAUAUCACAAGAACAAUCUCAUUGUAAUUUUUGUCAUUUCUAAAUGUAUUGUCAAUUAGCUAAGAAGCCUUGACAUACCUUAUUGUGGUCUACAGAGCCAAUGAAGUGUUUACUUCUCGAUAACUCGUUUAGCUCCAUCCAAUGUAUUCUUCAGAAGCAUUGCAACAGUCAUUGGUCCAACGCCUCCCGGAACUGGAGUUAUCCAGCCAGCCACCUUACAUGCUUCCUGAAAAUCGACAUCUCCAACGAGCCUAUAACCUGACUUUCUUGUAGGAUCAUCUACAGCAUUUGUUCCAACAUCAAUUACUGCAGCACCAGGUUUGAUCCAGCUGCCUUUGAUCAUCAUAGCCUGUCCUGCGGCAGCAAUGAUAAUGUCUGCUUCGCGAAUGAUUUUCUCUGGUUCUUUGGUGCGUGAAUGGACUACAGUAACAGUGGCGUCUUCCUUCAGAAGAAGAAGAGAUACUGGUAAUCCAACAAUGUUGCUUCGACCAACCACAACUGCGUUCUUCCCCUUUAUGCUAAUCCCACUUCGGACUAAAAGCUCGAUGCAUCCCUUGGGCGUGCAAGGGUUGAACAAAGGUUGUCUGCCUUUCAUUGCAAGCUUGCCGAUAUUCAGAGGAUGAAAGCCAUCUACAUCCUUUUCCAGACUGAUUUCACACAGAACUUUCUCUUCAUUAAUAUGUUUUGGUAACGGAAGCUGUACCAGUAUACCAUGUACAUCAGGAUCAGCAUUUAGCUCAUGGACCUUGCUAAUCACCUCAGCUUCAGCUACAUCCUCUGGGAGGUCUAUAUCAAAAGACUUAAUGCAGAGCUCAGCACAAGAUUUUCUCUUCAUAUUCACGUAACUUUGUGAAUCCUUCCUAUUUCCUACAAUGACAACUGCCAACCCGGGGACCUUGCCAUACUUUUCUGAAAGACGUUGGACUUCAGAAGCAAUCUCAGAACGAAUAGUUUGAGCAAUUGCUUUACCGUCAAUGAUGGUAGCCUUGUGAUCUGAUGGCGAUGCCAUUGUAUCUUCAGACGAGAUAUAAAUUACCUAUAACUUCAACACUUUUAGUCAAUUAAUAGGAAUCGGCUCUUCAGAUCUGUAAGGAAUAAAUAUUGGCGAAAA